UUGCUAUGCUGCCCGGGCUGGUCUUGAACCCCUGGCUUCAAGCAGUCUUCCAGCUUCAGCCACACAAAGUGUGGGGAUUACAGAAGGUAACAUCAUCACAGAUUCAGGAGGAAAGAAACGCUUUCUGUUGAAGUUUUGAUAUCAUGUCUGAAAUGAGAAGGAAACAGCUUGCUCCCUUGGAUCCGUGGUUCCUCCUGUUGCCUCUAGAGGGCGAUGUUGCAUCAAGUAGGCAUCUGUUUUCAUCGCAGACCAUCCUCAUCCAUUGAGCCUCCUCCCUGUAGCUGGCUGAUGUAGCUCGUUGAUGUCUGUGUGGAUAGGGAGCUGUGACGAGAGCAAGAGGUCAGAACACAUCCAGGCUCCUUAAGGGAAAGCCUCUUUCUGUUUCUGAAACUUUUCAAAGCCAGGGACUUGUCCAAUCCAACCUCCUCACAGUUCCUAGCUCCUGAGGCUCAGCGCCCUUGGCUUCUGUCCGCCCAGCUUAAGGUCCUGCAGCAUUGCCACUGCUCAGCCAUGCUCCUGCUGCUCGUCCCAGCGUUCCAGGUGAUUUUUACCCUGGCAUUGAUGUUGCAGGAGGAACCAGAGCCCAGUCUGUGACCCAGCUUGACAGCCAAGUCCCUGUCUUUGAAGAAGCCCCUGUGGAGCUGAGGUGCAACUACUCAUCGUCUGUUUCAGUGUAUCUCUUCUGGUAUGUGCAAUACCCCAACCAAGGACUCCAGCUUCUCCUGAAGUAUUUAUCAGGAUCCACCCUGGUUGAAAGCAUCAACGGUUUUGAGGCUGAAUUUAACAAGAGUCAAACUUCCUUCCACUUGAGGAAACCCUCAGUCCAUAUAAGCGACACGGCUGAGUACUUCUGUGCUGUGAGUGACACAGUGCCUGAGACUGCAGGAGAGCUGAA
This 895-nucleotide long non-coding RNA is filed under the name Homo sapiens (human). RNAcentral describes it as "HSALNT0375600". The record is from RNAcentral. Lineage: Eukaryota; Metazoa; Chordata; Mammalia; Primates; Hominidae.